This 645-nucleotide ribosomal RNA is filed under the name Chondrostereum purpureum. Its description in RNAcentral is "partial small subunit ribosomal RNA". It matches the Rfam family "Bacterial small subunit ribosomal RNA", at positions 356 to 954 of the family's 1533-position model. Lineage: Eukaryota; Fungi; Basidiomycota; Agaricomycetes; Agaricales; Cyphellaceae. The record is from RNAcentral.
CAAGAAUAUUAGUCAUGCUCGCAAGAGUGAACUAGCUUAACUGAAAUCAUUUUUAUAGAAAUAUAGGUAAUCUUUGUUAAAUCAUUACAAACAUUAAUCUCAUUCUUCAUGGAGGUGGGAAAGUGAUAACAAAAGGGAGAAUCAUGAUGUUACCUUUUUAUUAGUGUUGUCCAAAGCUGGUGCCAGAAGACUCGGUAAGGCCAGAAACGCGAACGUUAGUCACAUUAACCAGGCGUAAAGAGUGGGCAGGCAGCUUAGAAAUUUUUAUUUUUAGUAAGCUAAUUAAAAAAUUAAACCUUUUUGAUUUAAAAAUAAAAAUGUAUAUAAGAUAGAAUCAUAUUGAGGAUAAGCCGAAUAAUGCCUAGUGUAAGGAUGCAAUCUAUUGAGAUUAGGUAGAAUACUAAUGGUGAAAGCUUUUUAUCUAUUAAUGAUUGACGCUCAGAAACGAAGGUGGGGAUAGGAAAUAGGAUUAGAGACCCAGGUACCCCCCACAGUCAACGAUGAAUGGUAGGUGUUAGUUUUAUAUUAAACUAGUUCCGAUGUUAACGCGAUAACCAUUCCGCCUUGAGAGUACGGUUGCAAAACUGAAACCAAAAAAAUUAGUCGGUCUCGAAGCAAACGAAGUGAACAUGGUAUUUAAUUCGA